CAUUAGGGUUUUUUCCAUCUUCUUCUUACGGCUCACCGUGGACGAAGAAAACACAGAGAAACUUGAAUCACCGUCUUGAUAUACAUAACGUUUUCAUCAUCCAUAACUCUGUUCUUAACUCCACCUCCCCCCUUUUAAUCCACUUGAAGCAAUCAAUAUAACUCUUCGUAUUCCACCUUAACCGGCUUCAGAUUCAGAUAUAAAUACGGCAUCUCACCUUCCUGCGAUGCGCACCUCAUCUCAGACGAAAUUUAGAAGCAAACUCUUUCCUAGCAAAUUCGAUCUGAGAGCUGGCCGAUGCUCCAAUACUGCAAAGGUCCGUCUGCUUUGGUUUUGGGAGGCUAGGAAUAUCAACAAGGGAGGGGAACUUAUUAGUGUUGACAUGUUUCUCAUCCAUGAGAAUUUACAAAAAACAUGUAUUUGGUUAUCAUGCAAGAAGAAAAAACAUCAGCAAUAGAAUGAAUUUACUUCAGGAUAUAGUUACUGGUUGCAACCGGAUAACAGGGAAAGCAGCACUGCUUGAUGAAAUUAUAGAAUAUGUGCAUACAAGUUGAGUUCUUUUCCAUUAAGCUGGCUACUAUAAAUUCAAGUUUGGAGUCAAACCCUGAUGCUGCUUUAUCUAUAGAGCCGGGAGAGUCGUUAACGCAGUCUCUUACGCAAUAGCUUGCUUAUGGUAAAGACUUCCGUCAUGAAUAUAUUAUCAUGCCAAGAACAUGCCUAGAUUCUCAGACACGCAAUUCCCCUCAAGUGAUGGAUUUGUUCAAGCCAAGACACACGGAUCCUGAAAAAUUGAUCUACAAAGCAAUGUUCAAAUGGGUUUUGGAGAUGUCCAGCAACAGAGCAGCAACAACAGUUGUUCUGAGGCAACAUUACAGAUGAAGCCUCAGCCAUGUGAAGAAGGUGAUCCAGUGGGCAACAUAGGGAGAAUAACCACACGCUCUUUGUUUAAAAGUUGUGUUGAUCACAUGGUGAUAUGUCUCCACUUUUUUUUUAAACCCACGUUGAUUUAUA
Brassica oleracea var. oleracea is the source of this 1011-nucleotide long non-coding RNA. RefSeq lists it as uncharacterized. The record is from RefSeq and is a predicted model, not a curated record. The transcript is spliced from 7 exons. NCBI's taxonomy places the organism in Eukaryota, Viridiplantae, Streptophyta, Magnoliopsida, Brassicales, Brassicaceae.